Molecule: ribosomal RNA, 304 nt
Filed under: uncultured bacterium
Lineage: Bacteria
Description: partial 16S ribosomal RNA
Rfam family: Bacterial small subunit ribosomal RNA
Source: RNAcentral
CAGCAGUAGCCACGGGAAUACGAAGGGUGCAAGCGUUAAUCGGAAUUACUGGGCGUAAAGCGUGCGUAGGCGGUUUGUUAAGUCUGUUGUGAAAUCCCCGGGCUCAACCUGGGAAUGGCAAUGGAUACUGGCAAGCUAGAGUGUGUCAGAGGAUGGUGGAAUUCCCGGUGUAGCGGUGAAAUGCGUAGAGAUCGGGAGGAACAUCAGUGGCGAAGGCGGCCAUCUGGGACAACACUGACGCUGAGGCACGAAAGCGUGGGGAGCAAACAGGAUUAGAUACCCGAGUAGUCCCUGUCUCUUAUAC